UGCCAGACUCCUACGGGAGGCAGCAGUGGGGAAUAUUGCACAAUGGGGGAAACCCUGAUGCAGCGACGCCGCGUGAGCGAUGAAGUAUUUCGGUAUGUAAAGCUCUAUCAGCAGGGAAGAAAAUGACGGUACCUGACUAAGAAGCCCCGGCUAACUACGUGCCAGCAGCCGCGGUAAUACGUAGGGGGCAAGCGUUAUCCGGAUUUACUGGGUGUAAAGGGGGCGCAGACGGCAGCGCAAGCCAGGAGUGAAAGCCCAGGGCCCAACCCCGGGACUGCUCUUGGAACUGCGCGGCUGGAGUGCAGGAGGGGCAGGCGGAAUUCCUGGUGUAGCGGUGAAAUGCGUAGAUAUCAGGAGGAACACCGGUGGCGAAGGCGGCCUGCUGGACUGCGACUGACGUUGAGGCCCGAAAGCGUGGGGAGCAAACAGGAUUAGAUACCCUAGUA
This 446-nucleotide ribosomal RNA is filed under the name uncultured bacterium. RNAcentral's name for it is "partial 16S ribosomal RNA". It matches the Rfam family "Bacterial small subunit ribosomal RNA", at positions 329 to 792 of the family's 1533-position model. The record is from RNAcentral.